UAGGGAAUCUUCCACAAUGGACGCAAGUCUGAUGGAGCAACGCCGCGUGAGUGAAGAAGGUUUUCGGAUCGUAAAGCUCUGUUGUUGGUGAAGAAGGAUAGAGGCAGUAACUGGUCUUUAUUUGACGGUAAUCAACCAGAAAGUCACGGCUAACUACGUGCCAGCAGCCGCGGUAAUACGUAGGUGGCAAGCGUUGUCCGGAUUUAUUGGGCGUAAAGCGAGCGCAGGCGGAAUGAUAAGUCUGAUGUGAAAGCCCACGGCUCAACCGUGGAAAUGCAUCGGAAACUGUCAUUCUUGAGUGCAGAAGAGGAGAGUGGAAUUCCAUGUGUAGCGGUGGAAUGCGUAGAUAUAUGGAAGAACACCAGUGGCGAAGGCGGCUCUCUGGUCUGCAACUGACGCUGAGGCUCGAAAGCAUGGGUAGCGAACAGG
This 429-nucleotide ribosomal RNA is filed under the name bacterium. Its description in RNAcentral is "partial 16S ribosomal RNA". It matches the Rfam family "Bacterial small subunit ribosomal RNA", at positions 355 to 776 of the family's 1533-position model. The record is from RNAcentral. RNAcentral also lists the same sequence under 1 other name.